Molecule: transfer RNA, 64 nt
Filed under: Dipodomys ordii (Ord's kangaroo rat)
Lineage: Eukaryota; Metazoa; Chordata; Mammalia; Rodentia; Heteromyidae
Rfam family: tRNA
About the family: Transfer RNA (tRNA) molecules are approximately 80 nucleotides in length. Their secondary structure includes four short double-helical elements and three loops (D, anti-codon, and T loops).
Source: Rfam by way of RNAcentral
GGUGGCUCAGUGGUAGAGUGCUUGGCUUGCAUGCCUGAGGCCCUGGGUUCGAUUCCCAGCACCA